GGUGGAUCCAGAGAAGGUGCUUGAAGCCGAGAAGAAAGCAGCGGCAGAUCGAGCACAACGAGGUAUCAACACUCGCAUGCCCAAUCCCAGUAGUUGCUCCAUUAACAGUGUUGAUAUUGUUGUUGCAACGUACUUCAAUUCAAUGGCUAGACAAUGUUACCACUGCUCGUAUUGGUCCAGCAAUGAUUGAUAGAGUCGGAGUGCCCGAUCUUUCGGUGAGUGGAGAUAAAAUCGACUUGGUGGAAGUAGACCCUCACGAUCCGACUACGACGAGCGAACCCGAAGCGCCAAUGCAAUCGCUGAACCAACUCCCGAUGGUUACCAACCUCGCCGGUGCGAGAUCAGCCUGAUCACGAAGAUCGAUUCCUGUCCGCAAUCGAAGAACGAACAAGAAAGAGAGGCGAGCAAUCUAAAUAUCACUCGAAGGUGGAGUUCUGAAUCACAAGGACAGCGCGUAUUUGCGCGUGUUCAAGAGUAGCUAAAGCUAGAUGUAAAACAAAACUCAAGUCGUAAACAAAAAGGACUCGGACUAAAUAAAGGGGGCGCAGCCCCUGGAGUCCGAAGGGGUCACGGCGCCCAACCCUAGGCGCCCCACCUGGGCUGCCCUGUUGGGCCAUCUUCUUAUUCCGAUGGGCCUUCGUUCCUUAAUAGCAUGAUGAAGUUUAAUUCUCUCGCACGGGCUCGAGUGAUUGGCCCAACUGGAUGAGCAACUGUAGGCGCCUGAGGUGGAGGAGCAACUGGAGGCGCCUGAGGUGCUGAUGGUGUAGAUGUACUCGUGGUGUCCUCAUCAUCCUUCCCUUCUUGAACUGAAGUCGUCCUCGACGGCAACUCCUCAUCUUCGCCCACAUACGGUUUCAAAUCUGCAACAUUAAAACUCGUGGAAACACCAAACUCCGCAGGCAGGUCAAGGAUAUAAGCAUUAUCAUUAAUCUUGGUUAGCACUUUAAAAGGACCAGCAGCACGUGGCAUCAAUUUAGAACGACGUAAGGUAGGAAAACGAUCCUUCCUCAAAUGCAACCAAACCAGGUCACCCGGUGCAAAAGUAACAUGUUUUCUCCCUUUACUACCCGCAACCUGAUAUUUAGCAUUAGCAGCAGCAAUGUUUUGUUGAGUUUGCUCAUGCAAGCUAAUCAUUUGAUCAACAUGUGCAGCGGCAUCUAUGUGUGGGGUGUCCUCGGCAUCAAGUGCAAACAAAUCAAUAGGUGCCCGAGGAAUAUAACCAUAAACAACUUGAAAAGGACACAUCUUUGUAGAAGAAUGUGUUGCAUGAUUAUAAGCAAACUCAACAUGAGGCAAGCAAUCUUCCCAACGUUUCAAGUUUUUCCUUUAAAAUAGCCCUAAGCAUUGUGGACAAGGUUCGAUUAACCACCUCAGUUUGUCCAUCAGUCUGAGGGUGACAAGUGGUGCUAAACAGCAAUUUAGUUCCCAUUUUAUUCCACAGUGAUCUCCAAAAAUGACUGAGAAACUUAGCAUCACGAUCAGAGACUAUUGUAUUUGGAAUACCAUGCAAACGAAUAAUCUCGCGAAAGAACAAUUCAGCAACAUUGCUAGCAUCAUCAGUCUUAUGACAAGGUAUAAAAUGAGCCAUUUUGGAGAAACGAUCAACAACCACAAAAAUACUGUCCCUCCCCUUCUUAGUUCUAGGCAAUCCCAAAACAAAGUCCAUAGAAAUAUCAAGCCAGGGAGAAGUAGGAACAGGCAAAGGCAUGUACAAACCAUGGUUGUUCAAUCGUGACUUAGCUUUCUGGCAAGUAGUGCAACGUGCAACAAGGCGCUCAACAUCAGCGCGCAUCCGGGGCCAAAAGAAGUGGGCAGCCAGCACUUCAUGCGUCUUGUAGACGCCAAAGUGCCCCAUGAGACCGCCUCCAUGCGCUUCCUGUAACAACAAACGACGAACCGAGCUAGCUGGAACACACAGCUUAUUAGCGCGAAACAGGAACCCGUCCUGUAUGUGAAAUUUGCCCCAUGGUUUGCCAUGAAUACAGUGGGCGAAAGCAUCUUUAAAAUCAGCAUCAUCCACAUAUUGAUCCUUCACAGUUUGCAAGCCAAAGAUUUUAAAAUCUAACUGGGACAGCAUGGUAUAGCGACGAGACAAAGCAUCAGCAAUGACAUUUUCCUUCCCGCUCUUGUGUUUAAUAAUGUAAGGGAAAGACUCAAUGAAUUCUACCCAUUUAGCAUGACGACGGUUCAGGUUUGUUUGGGUACGAAUAUGUUUUAAAGCCUCAUGAUCAGAAUGAAUUAUAAACUCGCGAUGCCAAAGGUAGUGCUGCCAAGUAUGCAAAGUGCGCACUAAAGCAUAAAGCUCCUUAUCAUAAGUAGAAUAAUUCAAGCUAGCACCACUUAAUUUCUCGCUAAAGUAAGCAACCGGUUUUCCUUCUUGUAACAAAACAACACCUAGCCCAAUACCGCUAGCAUCGCAUUCAAGCUCAAACACUUUAGUAAAAUCAGGCAACUGCAAGAGAGGAGCAUUGGUUAACUUAUCUUUCAAGGUGCUGAACGCAACCUCUUGCGAAUCACUCCAAGCAAAGGGAACAUCCUUCUUUGUAAGCUCAUGUAGAGGCGCUGCAAUGGAGCUAAAAUCACGAACAAACCGGCGGUAGAAACCUGCAAGGCCAAGAAAGCUUCGAAUUUGUGUGACCGUCGUCGGUGUAGGCCACUCCCGAAUGGCAUCAAUCUUGCUGCUAUCCACCUCAAUGCCCUGUGGAGUAACAACAUAGCCAAGAAACGAGACACGUUGUGUGCAAAACAUGCAUUUUUCGAGGUUAGCAAAUAAAUGGGCCGCACGCAAUGCAUCAAAAACAGCACGCAAAUGUUCUAGAUGCUCUUCCAUAGACUUGCUGUAAAUGAGGAUAUCAUCAAAAUAGACAACUACAAACAAUCCUAUGAAGGGCCUCAGAACUUCAUUCAUCAAACGCAUAAAUGUGCUGGGAGCAUUUGUCAAACCAAACGGCAUAACCAACCAUUCAUAUAACCCAAAUUUUGUUUUAAAAGCCGUUUUCCAUUCAUCACCUAAUUUCAUGCGAAUCUGAUGGUAGCCACUACGCAAAUCAAUCUUAGUGAAAAUAAUGGCACCACUAAGCUCAUCUAGCAUAUCAUCAAGGCGUGGUAUAGGGUAUCGGUAGCGAAUGGUAAUGUUAUUAAUAGCACGACAGUCUACACACAUACGCCAUGAGCCAUCUUUCUUUGGAACAAGUAACACGGGAACGGAGCAAGGGCUAAGAGACUCACGAAUAUAACCCUUGUCAAGCAACGCCUGUACCUGGCGCUGGAUUUCCUUCGUCUCAUCCGGAUUUGUACGGUACGGUGCGCGGUUCGGAAGCUGUGCGCCGGGAAUGAGGUCGAUCUGGUGCUCAAUGCCACGAAGUGGUGGGAGUCCUGGUGGUAAAUCUUUUGGAAAGACAUCAGCGUACUCCUGCAAAAUGUUAGCAACCGCAGGGGGAAUAUCCAAAGAUGGUGCAUCAUCAAGUGAAACGAGCACACUAGAGCAUAUAAGGGCAUAGCAUGGUAAAGGAGCAUCGCGUAACUCAUCAAAAUCAGCACGUGUGGCAAGCAAAACAGGAGCAUUCAACUUGAUUUUAGAAUUAAGAGAUGUCGAUGGUUCAAGUUGUUUAGCAGUUUUAGUAGCUCUAGCAAGAUCAUCUUUAAGAAUUUGUUCAGGUGUCAUUGGAUGUAUAAUUAUUUUCUGACCCUUAAACAUGAAAGAAUAGUGAUUUGAACGACCAUGGUGCAAGCUAUCAGUAUCAUAUUGCCAAGGUCGCCCAAGUAACAGAGAGCAUGCUUCCAUGGGAAUAACAUCACAAUCGACAAAAUCAGAAUAAGCACCCAUGGAGAAAGGAACACGGACUGAUCGAGUAAUUCUAAUUUUCCCACCAUCAUUAAGCCAUUGAAUGUGAUAUGGAUGUGGAUGCUUACGAGUGGGUAAAGACAACUUUUCAACCAGCGUGGUACUCGCCAAAUUGUUGCAGCUGCCGCUGUCGAUGAUGAUGCGAAUCGACCGCUCCUGCACAACGCCCUUGGUAUGGAAAAGAGUGUGUCACUGAUUCUUCUCGGACGGGGCGACCUGUGUACUAAGAACACGCUGCACAACAAGACUUUCAUACCUAUCGGCGUCGCCCGGGUUGACAUGUACCUCCAUAGCUGCAUGGUCAGUGGCAAGCAUCGCAUGUCGAGUAUCUUCAGAAUCACUAGCGGAAGAGUACUCACCAUCGUCACGAAGAAGCAAAGUGCGCUUGUUCGGACAGUCCCGAAUCACAUGGCCAAAUCCUUUGCAACGAUGACACUGAAUAUCCCGUGUACGGCCUGUGGGAGGGGCGGCGCCUGUGGAAGGGGCAACGCUUGCAGGUUUGGCCGUUCGCUCGCACGGUGUAGUGGUGGGCGUGGGUGGCGCAGGGAGAGCGGGUGCGGAGUUGGAUGUCGAGCUUCUUCCUGCAAAAGAGUUAGAAUAUAUCUUCGAGUGGCGUCCCUGCACUUCACGUUCAGCUUUGCAAGCAUAUUCAAAUAAUGUUGUCAUAUCUGUGUAGUCCUUAUAAUCAAGUAUAUCCUGAAUUUCGCGGUUCAAACCACCACGAAAACGUGCCAUAGCAGCGUCGUUUUCCUCCAAUAACCCACAACGAAUCAUGCCUAUUUGUAAUUCCUGGAAAUAUUCCUCAACAGAUUUGGAACCUUGCUGAAAACGUUGCAUUUUAUUAAGCAAAUCACGAGCAUAAUAAGAAGGCACAAAUCUGUGGCGCAUAGCAGUUUUUAAUUGCUCCCAAGUGGUUGGAAUGGUAUUGGGAUGUUUGUGUUUAUAUUCACGCCACCAAAUUAAAGCAAAAUCAGUAAAUUCACUAAUAGCAGCUUUAACUUGAGAAUUAGCAAGAAUAUCAUGGCAUGAAAAUUUCUGUUCAACUUCUAAUUCCCAAUCAAGAUAUGCAGCAGGAUCAUAUUUGCCAUUAAAAGGUGGAAUUUUAAAUUUAAUCUUGGAAAAGGAAUCAUUACCACCGGGACGGCGUGGCACGCGGCGGGCACGGCCUCGGCGGUUGCCAUCGUCCUGGUCCGAGUCACCACCAUAACCCUGCUGCAACUCUGCGACUGUAGUGUGCAAUGCAUCGAGUCUUGCCACAACUGAGUCGAGUGUGGCCUUAGCGGCCGUCUGUGCAAGGUCGAGCUGAUCACACCGCUCGGUCGUCGAGGAGAUCGUCGAGUCCAGCCGUUCAUGAAUCAUCUGAAUGUCGGUGACAAGCCCUUCAACUUGCGCCCGUAUGCCCUGCAGCUGGUUAGCCCCCACGUCGACAUCAUCUGCCAUGGUUAGCGCAAAGACAAGAACACAAGCGACGACAAAAUAGGGGUGUAAUAGCUCACAAGGCGCUCACACUAGUGCUGUUAUCAAAUUCUUAUCCGUUCUUACCAUGCACACAGGGGCGAAUUGCAACCAACCGGUGGAACUCACGAAAGAUUGGAGGAGCGAUUGCCUGGAGAAACAAAAUAUGCUCGUCGUAGAACUAUGUGGAGUUCUGGGAAGGCUGCACUCAAAUGAAGGAUUAGCACAAUCAAACAAUAAUGCAAAGUUGAAAGAUAGUGCCAAACACGUAACAAGAGUUGCUGGUAACAAGGAAAAUCGAAAAUCGAAAGAACAGAGGCAAGGUGGAGAGGGCGCACCUCUUUUUUUUUUCUAUUUUUUUUUCACAGAGGGUGCCCCAAAACUGAUAAUAUGAACACAGAGGAUCUCAAAUAUCAAAUUGCGGCACACACACUCUCUCUCUCUCUAGAGUAAGGCGGACCUCAGAAUAAAAAAGGACCAAGAAAGAGAGAUACGGAUUUGAAAGGCUGGCACGGAAGGCGUGGGGGGGGGGGAAUUUACCCCAGAGAGUCGUGACCCAGGAGGAGUCACGGCACGCGCAAAGGGAGGUUCCACCGAAACAAAUCCGAAUCACCUUCCUUCUCCCUGUUGGAUUCUUCUCCUUCUUUUUUUUUUGCUUCUUUCCCUUUUUUUUUGCACUUUCCUUUUUUUUGAUUGCUUUCGAUCUUUUUUUUUUGACAGGGGAGGGGCGAUCGGAGUAGUGGGAUGGCGUGGCGCGGUUGUCGCGGGGGGAGGUGCGGUGGGCGCGGCUGGUAGGGUUGGCGAGCAGCGGAACGGCGGCGGCGGCGAAAAACUAGGGUUAGAUGAAAAACGAGAAACAAGAGAUUAAACACAAGUAACCAGCAACAAUUGAACGAGUAGGCACACAAAUUCAACAAAGACACUUAUUGAAAGAAUGUGCAAGGCUAAACGGUUGCUGGGACAAAGGAUCUAACCUGAAAAAAUUUGUUUUGGUUUUUGUGGACUGUAGGAAGGGAAAAACACUCGGUAAAACUCACCGAUCAACCUGGAAAGCUGAUACCACUUGAUAGAGUCGGAGUGCCCGAUCUUUCGGUGAGUGGAGAUAAAAUCGACUUGGUGGAAGUAGACCCUCACGAUCCGACUACGACGAGCGAACCCGAAGCGCCAAUGCAAUCGCUGAACCAACUCCCGAUGGUUACCAACCUCGCCGGUGCGAGAUCAGCCUGAUCACGAAGAUCGAUUCCUGUCCGCAAUCGAAGAACGAACAAGAAAGAGAGGCGAGCAAUCUAAAUAUCACUCGAAGGUGGAGUUCUGAAUCACAAGGACAGCGCGUAUUUGCGCGUGUUCAAGAGUAGCUAAAGCUAGAUGUAAAACAAAACUCAAGUCGUAAACAAAAAGGACUCGGACUAAAUAAAGGGGGCGCAGCCCCUGGAGUCCGAAGGGGUCACGGCGCCCAACCCUAGGCGCCCCACCUGGGCUGCCCUGUUGGGCCAUCUUCUUAUUCCGAUGGGCCUUCGUUCCUUAAUAGCAUGAUGAAGUUUAAUUCUCUCGCACGGGCUCGAGUGAUUGGCCCAACUGGAUGAGCAACUGUAGGCGCCUGAGGUGGAGGAGCAACUGGAGGCGCCUGAGGUGCUGAUGGUGUAGAUGUACUCGUGGUGUCCUCAUCAAUGAUUGUUUUGAUGAUGUGAAUUGCAGAGUGGAUCCAAUUCAAUUAGUUCCUAUUUUUCUGUGUGUUGCAUGUGUGAUGUUGCAUUUAUUUUACAAAGAUGAGCGUGAACCAUUACUAGAUUUCAAGCUACACUAGGCAUGCAACGUUUGUUAAACAAAUGGUAACUUAUUUUAUUUCCCAGGACUCCUCCAACUUUGUAAAAUUUGAGACAUGCAUGCAUAUAUAUCCUCCCAUUGUCUGCAUUUGUUCUAGAAGACUAAACGCGUGUCUGCAAUUUAGGUCUUUUCUUGUUCUAGAUGUGUAUGCUAAAUCAAAAAGUUUUAUCCAGGAUCCUGUGGGCAUGAAGUUUCCGACUACG
This 7326-nucleotide long non-coding RNA is filed under the name Setaria viridis. RNAcentral describes it as "long non-coding RNA (SVIR_LNC007584)". Lineage: Eukaryota; Viridiplantae; Streptophyta; Magnoliopsida; Poales; Poaceae. The record is from RNAcentral.